CGCGGGGUGGAGCAGCUCGGUAGCUCGUCAGGCUCAUAACCUGAAGGUCGUAGGUUCAAAUCCUACCCCCGCAACCA
This 77-nucleotide transfer RNA is filed under the name Wolbachia endosymbiont of Folsomia candida. Its description in RNAcentral is "tRNA-Met". It matches the Rfam family "tRNA". Rfam says of the family: Transfer RNA (tRNA) molecules are approximately 80 nucleotides in length. Their secondary structure includes four short double-helical elements and three loops (D, anti-codon, and T loops). The record is from RNAcentral. RNAcentral also lists the same sequence under 4 other names. Lineage: Bacteria; Pseudomonadati; Pseudomonadota; Alphaproteobacteria; Rickettsiales; Anaplasmataceae.